This is an unclassified non-coding RNA of Nomascus leucogenys (northern white-cheeked gibbon), 102 nucleotides long. It matches the Rfam family "Y RNA". From Rfam's summary of the family: Y RNAs are components of the Ro ribonucleoprotein particle (Ro RNP), in association with Ro60 and La proteins. The Y RNAs and Ro60 and La proteins are well conserved, but the function of the Ro RNP is not known. NCBI's taxonomy places the organism in Eukaryota, Metazoa, Chordata, Mammalia, Primates, Hylobatidae. The record is from Ensembl.
UGCUGGUCCAUGUGCAGUGGUGUUUACCACCAGUUGAUCACAGCCAGUUACAGAUUUAUUUGUUCCUUCUCCACUCCCACUGCGUCUCUUGACUAGCCAAAA